Passer domesticus (house sparrow) is the source of this 4598-nucleotide long non-coding RNA. RefSeq lists it as uncharacterized. Lineage: Eukaryota; Metazoa; Chordata; Aves; Passeriformes; Passeridae. The transcript has 3 exons. The record is from RefSeq and is a predicted model, not a curated record.
UCCCCUGCCCUGAUAUUUUCUCCACCACCCAGAGCCUCUUUCACUCCCAGCUCAGCUGAGCCACUUCACAGAGUCCCUGUGUGAAAAUGGCACACAGCUGGCAAAGGAAGCUGCAUGUGAGCUGGGACAGAGCAGGAAUAGGAACCUUGAUUUAUGGGAGAAGUAUAAAAAAGCUUCCCUUUAAGCUUAACAAAGUUAUUUUUGCAAGGGAAGCCAGGUCCUCUCUCUGAGCAGGAUUAAAGCAGGACAAAAGCAGGAGACAGCCCUGAACACCAGGGCACAAGGAGAGAUCAAAGUUACCCUGACAGGGCUGGAGAGACAAACCCUCAGCCAGACCUCAUCUGUAUGGUGUUGUUACAGCCACGCCUGUGUGGCAGAGUGGUGUCUGCACAGAAGAGCCUUUUAUCAGAGAAUUUUGGGAAAUUGUAGUUAGCUCUCCCAUGUUGCUUCAGUGAGAAAGAAACCUGAGUGUAUCAGAGAAAUGGAGCAGCAAUAUCCAGGGGGUCGCAGCCAGCUGUAUGGAAGUCUUGUGGGCUGUUCCAGAAUCCUGAAAGUGAAAAAUCUCAGCCAACUAUAUCAUAUUCCCAUGACCCCUGCUGGGCUACAGAGAAGCCUGUCCCAGCCUGGUGGAGUCAACUCUGUUUUACUCAGAUCCUCUGUACCACGUUGUACCUGAGUUUAAACUCCAAGACCUGGCAAAUAAAGUGCCUUCCUUACUGUCUGUGGAUAUGAACAUCUGCCAGUAAACUUCAGCCCUCCUAAUUCACAGGUCUGUCCUAAUAUUUGAGUCUUCUUUGGUGAAUAAAAGCUCUUCUUCUGGAGGGAGAGGGCUCUUUUGUCAGGUUAAUUAAAUCCAGCAGUGCUGCUGAGGUUGCAGCUGUUUGAAAUUACAAAAAGAAGCAGACUUGUGUAAGCCUAGGGAUCAGUGGAGUAUUUUAUGGCUUAUACAAAGAUUUGUAAACAAAGAAAGAAAGAAAAAAAAAUUCAAAGCAAGGGGGCCAAAAUGUCUAAAUCAAAGAACUUUUUCUGGCUGAAUCUUUCUGGCAUCUUGGAUGUCGACCUGAUGGAUGCUCCUCUCCCCAGCAAAGCUGAACUGAAUAUAAUGGAAUAACUUACACUGCUGAAGAGGAAGCUGAGAAAACUUAACAGAAAAACACUUGAAAACUCACAGUCUCUUUGCUGAGAUGCUGCUUCAUAUACUUAAUAGUACUAAUGUUAAGUAGCAAAAUCCUCUGCUGUCCUGAGGCCAAAGUUGCUUUAAUAAAGGAGAGAGAAGAGGCACAAGACGGUGAGCCAUGUCUCUCCUGCCAGUCUAUCUAAUUAACAUUGAAUAUUAGCUAAAAUGUUAAGUAAUCAUCUCCAGUAAGUGAUAUGGAAAUGAGAAUGCUUCAGCUAGAGAAAAUUCAUUGGCAUUGUUUAAUAUAUUCAUACCAAAGCUCAAGUGGCUCCACGUUUUCAAGCUUCUUUCUUUCCUCUCUUUUUCUAUUCAUAUUGACUAAUCCCGAUUCUCGAACACCAGGUCUGGGUUCACCAUUAUAAUAGCUCUAAUCCUAAUAAAUGUCACCCUAUGUUAGCAUGCAGUAUUUUUUUAACAAAUUCUCUUUUAUUGAGCUUAUUCCUUUGGCAAAUAUAUUAGUUAUUUGGUAUUUAAAAGGUCAUCUUGAGCAAUAUUUUGGAAAUCUAUUUUCAUUGGUUUCAACCCAAAAUCUCAGAUUACAGGUGUUCUAAAUUUUGAGUUCCAUCUAAACAUCCCUGUCAUAAAUAAUAUUUUUAUAGUUUUGUGAGGCAUGGAGUCCAAAAUGCUUCUUAGGUUUUGGGCAUAUGUGACAAAGUAUCAAUAUUUGAUUUGUAGUUAGUGAGAUUUGUGCUUAAUUUUCCUGCUCUCUGAGAAACAAUUUAAUUUAAUUCACAAAGCUUCAUUGAUUGCACAAACACUCAAAAUUAACCUACAAUGAGUUAUUGUUUAGGGCUGUGGAGGUGAAGCUGGACAUCCCUCAGAAUAUCCAGUGCCUGUUUCUACAUCUUAACUGCCAAAUCUUAUUAAACGUUGUCACUUCCACAUUAUUGGGCCAUUUUGGAGGUAGUGUGGUGUGGCUGCCUUUUAUCUUUCUUUGGAGACCGUGGGUUUAUUAACCUGAGCUGAAUUCCUAAUGUCCAUAUUCACCCAUGCUUUAAUGCCCAUGCCCACAGACAAGGAAUUUGCAAGUCUGCUCAGUUUUGAUGUGAAUUGCAAAUUCUCAGAAGUGCUUGGAGGAAGAAAGCUCUUCCAGAGAAUAUUUGUGUUAUCUCUUUUCUCCAGGUGUCUGCUUUUUAAUGUUUGCAGAAGAAACAUGAAUACCAUUUUGUGGGAAAAGUCUUAAUGUCUAUAUUUGUUAUCAAUGGCUUUUAUGUCCCCUUAUUCCUGGAGCCUUUAGGGAGGAUGUUGCCAGGGGAAAGCACUGGAAAUCCCACAGAAUGACAAAAUGAUGAAAGUGAGAUGAGUAUGGGGCUGCCUUCAUGGUUUUUAUCUUGGAAUUUCACAGCAAAAAGCAAAGAGAGAGGCGACUGCACUUACAACAGGGCAGAGAGAGAGAUGUCAAGCAUGAAAAAUCCGAGCUCCCUUUGAGCUGAAUGUAGGAAAAUAAUAGAAAAGAUAAGUGAAACCUUUAAAAAUCAUAGGCAUAGCAACGUGUUCUUCAAAAAGGAAUGAUUUCAUCAGAGCCCUGCGGAAAUUCCUACAAGACUCCCAGGCAGAAACUUUUCACAGCUUUUUCCUACAAGGUGCAGGUGUGGAAAUGUUUUAUUGCCCUGCCUUACCAACCCUUUAUGCCUUCAGAACCACAGGGUAAUGGACUGUUAAGUCUCAGCUCCAUACAGGGCAGAAAGAGAUAUGUAAAUUCAACCAGAUUAAAAUUCAGAUUGCUGGAAGUCCCUUGCAUCCUUGGCUACAGCAUCUACAGCCCUGAACUGCAUUUUCAGCAUAAAUAGAGAAGUAGAAGUUAACCCAGGGUAGGUCUUUCAGAAAGAUCAACAAUAAAUGCCCAGCUAAUAGAUAAAAAAAAGCUCUUGGCACUGCAGAGUUUCAGCUGUGCCUUUGACCAGACCGAGCUCCUUCAGCUGGGUGUGUGCCUUGCCAGCAGACUCCUGAAAAACUUUUGAGUGACUUUAAUUUCUUCAUCAAGAACUCAGUUCUGAGACCUUUUACAAGAUCAGCCCUUGAAAGACCAUUAAAUUAACUUUCUGUCUGGAUGCAAGGAUUACACGCUACGGGAAAUGUUUGCUGCAAUUUCUUUUUGUGGCAUAAAAAUUGAUGAAUUUUCAGAAGUCAUUAUCUUCAUCAAACCCAACCUGUUCUCAUUAGACGUACUCCAAGAAGAGUUGAUGUUCAUUUGUUUCUGGUGCCAUCUGCUUUUACUGCUACAACAGACAUUUGUGGGAAAUUGAAUAUGAUCAAGAUCAAAUAGCCUUUAUGAGAAUGCAGUUUAAGGGUGAAACUCUUCUUGGCUCCUUCCACAUGAAUGCAUAUUCAACCUGAUGGAGCUGAACAUCCAAGAUUUUAUUGUAUCCUUUCUUUUGGGUUAUUAAAUGGGGAAAUUUUUUUAAAAAUGCAUUUUUCUUUUAUGUAAAGGCUUCAUAAUGGAAAGGCACAGUGCAUUAAGUAUGGCUGAACUGUAUAAAAUUCCUGUAGUCCAGAUAAUCACAAGAAUCAUUUAACCCUUAAAUAUUCUCAUUUUCCUCUUCUGAGUAGGUUUUGUGCUGUUUACUCAAAUGGGAGUGAGCUCUUUUGAAUUCUCGUGGCUGGGCUCUUUUCCAUGGUUUCUAUCAUCAUUUUCAUCCUUGUGCCAACAAGAAAACUGAACAAGGGCAAAAUGUCAUUGCCUUAAUAUACUGUGGUGUCACAAGUUAUGGUCAAUAAUAAAAGGGAAGGAAGGCAGACUGUUUAUUCUGGAAACAGGAUCUAUAUUUUAAUGGGAAAGGUGAAUAAUGCGAAGUAAAUACUAUCUAUGAAAGCCUAAAUAGGACUGUCUUGCUGUCUGUGACAUGACAAAAUGAUUAUAUCUGAAAAAUUGCUUUGUUUUAAAAUAGGAAUCAGCUGGGAGAUAUCAUUUUGAUCUGAAACAGAGUUUAGUUGAGCAAUUCCACAACCUCCCAAAAUAUUAUCCUUCUGUGAACUUUAUCUGAUAGCAAACAUUUAAAUGUACACAGCUCAAACCCUGAUGACUACAGAAUGAAAUUAACAUGAAAUAUAAAAUAUUUUAAAAUUAACAUAUUGUCCCCUCCUUACAGCAGAAUCAUAGAAUCAUUAUUUGAAAAGAUGAAAUUAUAUAAAAUUGUGCCAAACAUGAAUGUCUUUCAUUGCUCAAAGAGCCAUAAUAGCUUUCCCACAUUAAUUAAUUCCUUUGAGGAAUUUACUUUAAUCUCUCAUAAUAAAAGCAGUCAUCUAAAUCUUUGGCUUUGGAGUUUUUUUUUAAUCAUCACAGCAAUAUAAAAUCACUGCUUUGUCUAUCCCACUGUGUGUCCAUUGUUAUGUAUUUGUUUAACAAGAAUCUCUCCUCCUGCCAAUUCUUUUACUGAGCCUACAAUAAUGUAUCUGGUUGCCCAUUUUCUCUUGAUGUUGG